CCCUUAGAUGUCCGGGGCUGCACGCGCGCUACACUGAAGGAAUCAGCGUGCUAAAACCAUUGUCGAAAGGCAUUGGUAAACCCAUUAAAAUCCUACGUGAUUGGGAUCGGGAAUUGCAAUUAUUUCCCUUGAACGAGGAAUUCCCAGUAAGUGUGGGUCAUAAGCUCGCGUUGAUUACGUCCCUGCCCUUUGUACACACCGCCCGUCGCUGCCCGGGACUGAGCCGUUUCGAGAAAAGCGGGGACUGCUGCUGUCGGGGCUUUCGGGCCUUGGCCUCGGUGGAAACCGCUUUAAUCGCAGUGGCUUGAACCGGGCAAAAGUCGUAACA
This 328-nucleotide ribosomal RNA is filed under the name uncultured eukaryote. RNAcentral's name for it is "partial 18S ribosomal RNA". It matches the Rfam family "Eukaryotic small subunit ribosomal RNA", at positions 1470 to 1796 of the family's 1831-position model. The record is from RNAcentral.